UGCAAGUCGAACGGGCGGUAGCAAUACCGUCAGUGGCGGACGGGUGAGUAACACGUGGAUAACCUGCCUGACUCCCCGGGAUAACAGACCGAAAGGUCCGCUAAUACCGGGUAAGCUCACGGGGCCGCAUGGUCCUGGGAGAAAAGGUCCUGCAAAGGACUGGGGACAGAGGGAUCCGCGGCCCAUUAGCUAGUUGGGGGGGUAACGGCCCACCAAGGCGACGAUGGGUAGCCGGCCUGAGAGGGCGACCGGCCACACUGGGACUGAGACGCGGCCCAGACUCCUACGGGAGGCAGCAGUCGGGAAUUUUGGGCAAUGGCCGAAAGGGCUGACCCAGCAACGCCGCGUGAGUGAAGAAGGCCUUCGGGUUGUAAAGCUCUGUUGCCCGGGAAGAACGGUAGCUCCAGGAAAUGGGAGUUACUUGACGGUACCGGGAGAGGAAGCUCCGGCUAACUACGUGCCAGCAGCCGCGGUAAUACGUAGGGAGCGAGCGUUGUCCGGAUUUAUUGGGCGUAAAGGGCGUGUAGGCGGCUUUUUAAGUCAGGGGUGAAACCCCGGGGCUCAACCCCGGGCCUGCCUCUGAAACUGGGAAGCUUGAGUGCUCUAGAGGGCAGUGGAAUUCCCGGUGUAGCAGUGAAAUGCGUAGAGAUCGGGAGGAACACCAGUGGCGAAGGCGACUGCCUGGGGAGUAACUGACGCUGAGGCGCGAAAGCUGGGGGAGCAAACGGGAUUAGAUACCCCGGUAGUCCCAGCCGUAAACGAUGAGUGCUAGGUGUGAGGGGUAUCGACCCCCCUCGUGCCGCAGUUAACGCAAUAAGCACUCCGCCUGGGGAGUACGGCCGCAAGGUUGAAACUCAAAGGAAUUGACGGGGGCCCGCACAAGCAGCGGAGCAUGUGGUUUAAUUCGAAGCAACGCGUA
This 919-nucleotide ribosomal RNA is filed under the name uncultured bacterium. RNAcentral's name for it is "bacterial SSU rRNA". It matches the Rfam family "Bacterial small subunit ribosomal RNA", at positions 56 to 965 of the family's 1533-position model. The record is from RNAcentral.